AGGCGCGUAGCUCAGUUGGUAGAGCACAGGUCUCCAAAACCUGGUGUCGUAGGUUCGAUCCCUGCCGCGCCUGCCA
Molecule: transfer RNA, 76 nt
Filed under: Candidatus Peribacter sp.
Lineage: Bacteria; Candidatus Peregrinibacteriota; Candidatus Peribacteria; Candidatus Peribacterales
Description: tRNA-Trp
Rfam family: tRNA
About the family: Transfer RNA (tRNA) molecules are approximately 80 nucleotides in length.
Source: RNAcentral